Molecule: ribosomal RNA, 490 nt
Filed under: uncultured bacterium
Lineage: Bacteria
Description: partial 16S ribosomal RNA
Rfam family: Bacterial small subunit ribosomal RNA
Source: RNAcentral
AGUGAACGCUGGCGGUAGGCCUAACACAUGCAAGUCGAACGGCAGCACAGGAGAGCUUGCUCUCUAGGUGGCGAGUGGCGGACGGGUGAGGAAUACAUCGGAAUCUGCCCAGUCGUGGGGGAUAACGUAGGGAAACUUACGCUAAUACCGCAUACGACCUUCGGGUGAAAGAGGGGGAUCGCAAGACCUCUCGCGAUUGGAUGAGCCGAUGUCGGAUUAGCUAGUUAGCGGGGUAAUGGCCCACCAAGGCGACGAUCCGUAGCUGGUCUGAGAGGAUGAUCAGCCACACUGGAACUGAGACACGGUCCGGACUCCUACGGGAGGCAGCAGUGGGGAAUAUUGGACAAUGGGCGCAAGCCUGAUCCAGCCAUACCGCGUGGGUGAAGAAGGCCUUCGGGUUGUAAAGCCCUUUUGUUGGGAAAGAAAUCUUUCAGGCUAAUACCCUGGGAGGAUGACGGUACCCAAAGAAUAAGCACCGGCUAACUUCGUG